Molecule: non-coding RNA, 339 nt
Organism: Biomphalaria pfeifferi
Lineage: Eukaryota; Metazoa; Mollusca; Gastropoda; Planorbidae
Source: the annotation of a GenBank genome assembly
CAGGAGAAAGUGUCCCCCCCCCCCCUCAGUCCUCAAAUGUGCAGUAAGUCUUGAGACACACACUGAAGACACUACUUGCACCUUUGUGGAGGAAAUGAGUUGACCUUUUAUUCUUUCGUUUUCGUUGCGCCGUUAAGACCGUAGAGUCCGAACAUUGAGACCACAAAAGUCCCUUUAGUCUACCUUGACCAUAUAUAGAUUGUCCACUGUCUAGACUAGCUAGCACACCGUCAGUGACCUCUCUCACUUUGAUAUCUAAGUAGAAUCUUAGGGCCAUCUUGUCAGGCACACUCGCGAACGCAUACAAACACACACACUUGACAAACACACACACACACU